CGCGUAGGCGGAUGUUUAAGUCAGAGGUGAAAGCCCAGGGCUCAACCUUGGAACUGCCUUUGAUACUGAGCAUCUUGAGUAUGGGAGAGGUGAGUGGAACUCCGAGUGUAGAGGUGAAAUUCGUAGAUAUUCGGAAGAACACCAGUGGCGAAGGCGACUCACUGGCCCAUUACUGACGCUGAGGCGCGAAAGCGUGGGGAGCAAACAGGAUUAGAUACCCUGGUAGUCCACGCUGUAAACGAUGAGUGCUAGUUGUCGGCAUGCAUGCAUGUCGGUGACGCAGCUAACGCAUUAAGCACUCCGCCUGGGGAGUACGGUCGCAAGAUUAAA
Molecule: ribosomal RNA, 330 nt
Filed under: uncultured bacterium
Lineage: Bacteria
Description: bacterial SSU rRNA
Rfam family: Bacterial small subunit ribosomal RNA
Source: RNAcentral